GAGUUUCUGAACUACUACAACUCCCUCAAAAAUUUCUGCACUAAUCGGGGAGACCUUUGUACAUACCCAAAAUUCUCAAAAAUUUCUGCACCCUCCUUCGCAACUUUUGUAUAUCCCUUGGCAAGUAAAUGGAGAGUUUUUGUGGUGCUAAUCCAUGCAAUCAAUGCCAUGAUUCGAGCAGUGUCUUCUAGAGUGGGUGAUCACAAGUAUAGUUAUUCAAACAUUAGAGCAUCUCCAGAGGCUGUAAACUAGGUUUGCGCUAAAAAACCCGUCAAUAUAUAGCGUCGAACUGUAAUCUGGCAACGCAAUCUUUCCCACGGCGCGAAGAAAAAACUGCUCUGAAUUGUCCUCUCCGCGCUGGGACGAUGAGAAGGUUCGCCGGCCGCGCACGGCCUUGCCCGUCCCUCCGCGCAGAGCCAAGCGAGGCCAAAGUCCCCUCUUUUGUUCUGCCUGCCUGCGCCGUGUCGUCCGCCGUCGGCUCUCCCGCGUGCUUUUCUCCUGCUGCAAUCGGACCUUGGUGAGGGAGCGUGAGGCGGCGGUGCUCGAUGGGUGCCUUCUUUCCCCGCGCGGUCGGACUGAUUCACAGUAUCCUGACAGUUUGGUGCUCGAUUGGUGCUCGAUUGGACGGAUUGGUGCUCGAUUGGACGGAUUGGUGCUGCAAUCGAACCAAGAAACCGAGGUGAGGCUUUCUGAACGGAGGAUGGAUUGGAAGGAAAGAAUGGGUGCGGAGACGGCUGAUAAAUUUAGUUGACUUUUUUUUUAGAUUUAUUUUGUAUCCUGUUUGAUCUUGUUUGUUACAUGUAUGUUGAAAAACUUAU
Long non-coding RNA from Lolium perenne, 818 nucleotides. RefSeq lists it as uncharacterized. Lineage: Eukaryota; Viridiplantae; Streptophyta; Magnoliopsida; Poales; Poaceae. The record is from RefSeq and is a predicted model, not a curated record.